GUAGCUCAGUGGUAGAGUGCUUGCCUUGCAAGCAUGAGGUCCUGGGUUCGAUUCCUCAGC
Molecule: transfer RNA, 60 nt
Filed under: Dipodomys ordii (Ord's kangaroo rat)
Lineage: Eukaryota; Metazoa; Chordata; Mammalia; Rodentia; Heteromyidae
Rfam family: tRNA
About the family: Transfer RNA (tRNA) molecules are approximately 80 nucleotides in length. Their secondary structure includes four short double-helical elements and three loops (D, anti-codon, and T loops).
Source: Rfam by way of RNAcentral